RNAcentral lists this ribosomal RNA (253 nucleotides) under uncultured bacterium. RNAcentral describes it as "partial 16S ribosomal RNA". It matches the Rfam family "Bacterial small subunit ribosomal RNA", at positions 524 to 776 of the family's 1533-position model. The record is from RNAcentral.
UACGGGGGGUGCAAGCGUUGCUCGGAACCACUGGGCGUAAAGCGUCCGCAGGCGGACCGAACAGUCGGUGGUGAAAGCCCAAGGCUCAACCUUGGAACUGCCAUCGAUACUGCCGGUCUUGAGUUCGGGAGAGGGAAGCGGAAUUCCUGGUGUAGAGGUGAAAUUCGUAGAUAUCAGGAGGAACACCGGUGGCGAAGGCGGCUUCCUGGCCCGAAACUGACGCUUAUGGACGAAAGCGUGGGGAGCAAACAGG